CACUGCUGGGGGUAGAGCACUGUUUCGGCUAGGGGGUCAUCCCGACUUACCAAACCGAUGCAAACUGACGAAUACCCAUGAGUGAUAUCCGGGAGACAGACGGCGGGUGCUAACGUCCGUCGUCAAGAGGGAAACAACCCAGACCGCCAGCUAAGGCCCCAAAUUCCUGGUUAAGUGGGAAACGAUGUGGGAAGGCAUAGACAGCUAGGAGGUUGGCUUAGAAGCAGCCAUCCUUUAAAGAAAGCGUAAUAGCUCACUAGUCGAGUCGGCCUGCGCGGAAGAUGUAACGGGGCUCAAACCAGGAGCCGAAGCUGCGG
This 317-nucleotide ribosomal RNA is filed under the name uncultured Chlamydomonas. RNAcentral describes it as "partial Bacterial large subunit ribosomal RNA". It matches the Rfam family "Bacterial large subunit ribosomal RNA", at positions 891 to 1205 of the family's 2925-position model. The record is from RNAcentral. Lineage: Eukaryota; Viridiplantae; Chlorophyta; Chlorophyceae; Chlamydomonadales; Chlamydomonadaceae.